AGGGACAGGAGCACACACCAUGAUUACACACAUCCAGCUGAUCUGGCCCCUGGCAUUCUGUGUCGCAGGUAUCAAUGGGGAGAUUAUCAUGACCCAGUCUCCCCCGGUGCUGUCAGUGGAACUGGGCCAGACUGCAACCAUCACCUGUACGGCCAGUCAAAGCAUUAGCAGCUACCUCAGUUGGUACCAGCAGCGAGAAGGUCAGAAACCCUCUCUCCUGAUCUAUGCUGCAACAUCUCGAUUCACAGGAGUCUCCGAGCGAUUCACCGGCAGUGGAUCAGGGACCAGUUACACCCUGACAAUCAGCAACGUUCAGAGUGAGGAUGUCGCUGACUAUUACUGUCAGCAGGAUUACAGCUGGUAUAGCAGCUCCCCUCUGCACUGGGAACUCUCACUGUGGGACACGUUCGGUAAAGGAACCAAGCUCAGACUGAGCCGUGAGAACUCUCAGCCCAAGCUGACCCUGCUGCCCCCCUCCCCGGAGCAGGUCAAUGCCAAGGGCACUGCCACUCUGGUGUGCCUUGCCAAUCACUUCUAUCCCGAUGAGCUGGAGGUGCAGUGGAAGAAGGACGGUGCAGUCAUUUCAGACGGGGUUCAGACCAGCAACUACCUGCGAGCUUCGGACAGCACCUACAGUGUCAGCAGCCUGCUGACCCUCUCUGGGUCUGACUGGGAGUCCAAUGCUCGCUUCUCCUGUGCCCUCACCCAUGUGACCCUCCCGUCUCCCCUCAGCAAGAGCAUCAGGAGAUCAGAAUGUGUGUAGAGUGUGUGAGACAGUCCACAGAGGAGACACAACUUUAAAUAGAACAGGGUUGAGCUGGCAGGUCAAAGGUCAUUGCCAGCACAGAAUUUCAACUCUCUUCCUUCUCAGGAUUGCUCAGAGAAACUUCUGAGGUUUGGAUGUUAAAGCAGGUCAUCGCGACAGUGUCAAGAGAGCUUUACGCUGUGUCAAACCCCAUGCUGUACCUUGUCCUGGGAAUGUUUGAUGGGGACAGGAUUGCCUUUUUAUGUUAGCUGCACGAAACAAUGUGAACCUCAGAAGUCUCUGCUUCAGUAAACCAGAUCUCCUUCCUGCUCAGCUGCCAGUUCCAGUUUAAGGUUUUGUCACUGUUUAAAGGGACAGGAUUCUCAUGUUAUUGAGAAAAUCUCUCCAAGUGUUUUCCUCAAUCUCCA
Molecule: non-coding RNA, 1173 nt
Organism: Hemiscyllium ocellatum (epaulette shark)
Lineage: Eukaryota; Metazoa; Chordata; Chondrichthyes; Orectolobiformes; Hemiscylliidae
Source: the annotation of a RefSeq genome assembly